RNAcentral lists this ribosomal RNA (401 nucleotides) under uncultured bacterium. RNAcentral's name for it is "bacterial SSU rRNA". It matches the Rfam family "Bacterial small subunit ribosomal RNA", at positions 355 to 773 of the family's 1533-position model. The record is from RNAcentral.
UCGGGAAUUUUGGGCAAUGGGCGAAAGCCUGACCCAGCAACGCCGCGUGAGGGAUGAAGUAUUUCGGUAUGUAAACCUCGAAAGAAUGGGAAGAAUAAAUGACGGUACCAUUUAUAAGCUCCGGCUAACUACGUGCCAGCAGCCGCGGUAAUACGUAGGGAGCAAGCGUUGUUCGGAUUUACUGGGCGUAAAGGGCGCGUAGGCGGCGCGGUAAGUCACUUGUGAAAUCUCUGAGCUUAACUCAGAACGGCCAAGUGAUACUGCUGUGCUAGAGUGCGGAAGAGGCAACCGGAAUUCUUGGUGUAGCGGUCAAAUGCGUAGAUAUCAAGAGGAACACCUGAGGCGAAGGCGGGUUGCUGGGCCGACACUGACGCUGAUGCGCGAAAGCCAGGGGAGCAAAC